RNAcentral lists this long non-coding RNA (1543 nucleotides) under Carica papaya (papaya). RNAcentral's name for it is "long non-coding RNA (CPAP_LNC013867)". Lineage: Eukaryota; Viridiplantae; Streptophyta; Magnoliopsida; Brassicales; Caricaceae. The record is from RNAcentral.
GAUAUCAAAAAAAAAAAAAAAAACUUUGCUACACUAAACAGAAACUAGGCUCAAUCAAGUUUCUUAAUAGCAAAAGAUGUUUGUUCAAAUAAAUAAAUAAAUAAAUUAGGAUAAAACAUACACAUGACGUUUUUCAGCUAGAUGGAAUCAACCACAUUCUAAUUGCACUAAUAGGAAUGAAAAAGAAGUGCCGCUGCUGAUUUGAUAUGUAUUACCAAUAUUCAAUGCAGUUGGACUAGCAUAAUGAAUUCACAAUAUCCAAAUUCUAAAGGUUCCUAUUUCUCAAUGUGUCAUCAUACACUUGGAUCUAUGUUGCUCGGAGUCUUUAGCUUUAGUGCCAUAAAAAUGUCGGACACAACACCAAAUUGGUUGGAUAUGGGAUACGCGCCUGACGCUUGGUUUGCAUCUCAAAAACCUUAUAAUCUAAAACUAGAACUUACGACAUAUGAUCAUAGAAAAGGCAUGACUCUGAGAAUAGAAGUUAAAAAAGAACAGAUAGCUGGAAAUUCAUUUUUUUAAGAAUAAAAGAUAUAUAACAUAAAAGCACCAAAAGAGUGCAACCCUUAUAUAAAAGUAUUUAUAUAUCUAUUCUUUCAAACAAAAAAGUAUUUAUAUAUCUAGCAAAUAUCUAGAAGGUCCCCCCAAAUCCUCUCUAGAAAAUAGUUAUUAGCCCCUUAACAAAAAACUAAGUGCCUAAAAUCAUGUAUCUUUAUAUCUAUCAAAAGAGAAUUCUUCCCUUUCAAAGGUUUCCCUGUUUCUUUCUUUCCAAAUAACCCAAAAGGUAUUCAAAAAGAUUAGGUUGAUAAGACAUUUAUCACUCUUUAUACCUCUCCACACCCACAACUCCUCUCUCAUAGAACCAGCAACCACCCAACUCAGCCCCAAAAGACUAUAAGCCAAGGCCAAAGGCAAUAGACAAACUGGCACCAUAAGAGAAGGUGGCUACAAAUCUCUGCACCUUCUUGCACAAAUAACAACCAUUCACUAAGUUUUCCUCUCCUCCUGAGCAUAUCCAACAUAAGGAUGUGCUCCCAAACAACUUCCCAUGUGAAGGAUGUCACCCUAGAGGUUGCCUUCACUUUCCAAAUCAUAUUACCUGGAAACUUUUCACUAGCACCCACUUUCCUAGUCAAGAAUGAAUAAAAAGAUUACACUGAGAAGCAUCCUCUUUUGUCUAGGCUACAUAUCGACUCAUUUUCAAGCCCCUCAGAGAUCAUCACCUUAGAUAGAGAGUUGAGAAGUCUUAUAUAAUCAUUAAUCUCCCAAUCAUUAAUAUUUUUAGAUAAAACGAAGGACCAAGUACUGCAUACCUGUGGAUCUCGCGAAGGAAUCCUUAACUAUAAUACUUUUGUUUUGAGCAAUAGCAAACAUAGAAGGAAAUUGCCAACAGACUUAAUCUACAGAGUUAUGGUACAUAAUCUUUUGGAGUACCAUCAACUUCAACCUUAUUAACAUUCUCCAGAGAGAGAAAAACAUAUGAAGUUCCUCCAUGUAGGGGAGAAGGAGCAAUUUGAUCUCACUUUGGAAUGGUAUACUCUCAUAA